Molecule: ribosomal RNA, 1683 nt
Filed under: Triticum aestivum (bread wheat)
Lineage: Eukaryota; Viridiplantae; Streptophyta; Magnoliopsida; Poales; Poaceae
Description: partial small subunit ribosomal RNA
Source: RNAcentral
AUGAUGCUGAAGAUGGGGUUUUCCCGGGACUGGGUGCACCUAAUUAUGGGAUGUGUCACAACUGUGACUUAUAGGAUUAAGGUCAACAAUGAUCUAACGGAGGUUAUUGUGCCUGAGAGAGGCUUAAGGCAGGGAUGUCCCCUAUCACCCUAUCUUUUCAUUCUCUGUGCGGAGGGCCUCUCUGCUCUGUUCCAAGACGCCGAGAGAGAGGGUAGCCUUCAGGGGGUGCAGGUUUGUACGGGAUCCCCAAGGAUAAACCAUAUGUUCUUUGCGGACGAUUCUCUCAUCUUCAUGAAGGCAAACAAGGCUAGUGCAGGAAAGUUGAUGAGCAUUUUGGCCUUGUAUGAGGAUGUCUCGGGGCAGGUGAUUAAUAAAGACAAAUCGGCUGUCAUGUUCAGCAAGGGGACUUCUCAGGCGGCGAAGAGGAAGUUCAUGAAUCUUCUCCAGAUUAGUGACGAGGCCUUCAAUGAAAGGUAUCUUGGUUUGCCUAUUUACCUGGGCAAGUCCAAGAGCAAAGCAUUUGGCUAUUUGUUGGAGAAGGUGUGGAAGAAGAUACAGGGAUGGAAGGAAAAGUUUCUCUCCAGGGCGGGAAAGGAAAUAUUAGUUAAGGCGGUGGCGCAGGCAAUCCCUAUUUUUGCCAUGUCCUGUUUUGAUCUCACUAAAACUCUUUGCGACGAUAUCAGCUCGAUGGUGUGCCGCUAUUGGUGGAACAAUCAGGAGGAGGAUCGACACCACUGGCUGGGUUGGCAGUGCUUGACAAAACCCAAGUGCGAGGGUGGGCUCGGCUUCAGGGAUCUUCAUAUUUUCAACAUGGGUAUGCUGGCGCGUCAAGGCUGGAGAUUAAUUCAGGAGCCUGAUUCUUUGUGUGGGAGAGUGUUGCGGGCAAAAUACUUCCCUGAUGGCAACAUAUUGGGGGCCACCGUGAAGCCGGGAAUCUCUUACACAUGGCGCAGCAUCUUGAGGGGUGUUGCCCUCCUAAAGGAGGGUUUGGUUUGGAGAGUGGGGGAUGGGUCAAAGAUCAAAGUCUGGGAAGACCCAUGGCUGCCUGAAGGGGAUACUCGGAGGCCACGCGCUGUGAGGGGCUCCUCUGUUGUUGAGACGGUGGCUGAUCUUAUCAACCCUACCACAGGGGCCUGGGACGAGACCAUGUUACAAGGCAUUUUUCCUCCUGAGGAUGUGAAGACUAUUCUGUCCAUUAGCAUUUGCGAUGACAUGGAAGACAAUCUAGCUUGGCACUUUGAUCCAAAGGGCAUUUUUUCUGUAAAGUCUGCCUACAAAGUGGGGGUAAUGCUCAGGGAUAGAAGCCGUGGCAGUGAUGCUGCCUGCUCCAGAGUGAGUACGGGAAAGGGUCAGGUAAAUUUUGAUUGGAACCACAUUUGGAAGAUGAGAGUCCCAAACAAGCUGAAGAUGUUUGUGUGGCGGCUAGCCCACAACAGCUUGGCGCUCAGGAUGAAAAUCGCGAGGAUUGGGAUCGAGCUGGACACCUCGUGCCCGGUUUGUCACAGGAAAAACGAAGACGGUGGCCAUAUCUUUCUAAAGUGUAAACAGGCUAAGGAGUGUUGGGGGAGGCUGGGGCUGGGGGAGACACGUGAGAAGCUCCUGCCCUGCAGCUCAGGGUGCCAGAUAAGCCACCAAAACCACCUGACCUUAGCAGAUGGGUUAAACCCCCUGAGAACUUUGUGA